UACGUAGGGUGCGAGCGUUGUCCGGAUUUAUUGGGCGUAAAGAGCUCGUAGGCGGUUUGUCGCGUCGGCCGUGAAAUCUCCACGCUUAACGUGGAGCGUGCGGUCGAUACGGGCAGACUUGAGUUCGGUAGGGGAGACUGGAAUUCCUGGUGUAGCGGUGAAAUGCGUAGAUAUCCGGAGGAACACCGGUGGCGAAGGCGGCUUCCUGGACCGAUACUGACGCUGAGGCGCGAAAGCUAGGGGAGCAAACGGG
RNAcentral lists this ribosomal RNA (253 nucleotides) under uncultured bacterium. Its description in RNAcentral is "partial 16S ribosomal RNA". It matches the Rfam family "Bacterial small subunit ribosomal RNA", at positions 524 to 776 of the family's 1533-position model. The record is from RNAcentral.